Molecule: long non-coding RNA, 697 nt
Organism: Coffea eugenioides
Lineage: Eukaryota; Viridiplantae; Streptophyta; Magnoliopsida; Gentianales; Rubiaceae
Exons: 2
Source: RefSeq, a predicted model, not a curated record
UAUGGUGGAGGUCUCCCAGAUGAAAUUGCUGCAGAAGAAAAAGGAUAUCAUUGUGUUUUGAUUGUUGGUUCUGGAGUCGAUAAGAAUGGGGAGGAGUUUUUUCUGAUAAAAAAUUCUUGGGGGGAGGACUGGGGUUAUAAGGGAUUUGCCAAGGUCCGCCGGAACCUCAUCCUCGAAUAUGGCUUUCCAAUAGGUGCCACUGGAUUUAGGAAAGUCAACAGGAUGGGUAGGCAGAGUCCAUAGAAGCUUGAAGGGUAUAUGUGAGUGAAACUGUGAAAGUAGCAGAAGCAAUGGUGGUAUUUCCUAAUUCUUUUUUCCCUUGCUUUAUAUUUGCUCAACUUUUCAUGGAUUAGUGGCUAUUUAACUGAGCUGGAGCAAUGUUUUGUGGUUGAGGGGCAAUGCUGUAUUGGAAAUUACAGAUAUAUUUGGGUGUUGGUGUUAUAUAUAAUAUGAACAGUCUGGUUGCUGCGUUGAGCAAGAACUCGUUCCACAUCUUUUGAACUUUCCACAUCUGUGCCAAUCUUCAAGGAUGUGGAAUUGGCACAGAUGUUGAACCUUAACUCAAUUGGCCAUAAGUAUUUUUUCAGUCUGACGAGCAUAACCUCUCUUUGGUCCUUGAAGAUAAGUGUUAAGGUUCAAAAGAUGUGGAAGCUUUCUUUUUGGAAGAUGGCGAUAAGUAUUAAGGUUCAGAAUUGCA